AUGACCCCCAGCCUGGCCAUUGCCUUCCUCCUGCUGCUCCCCGUGGGUGUCUAUUCCCAGGUCAGCCUGGUGGAGUCCGGAGGGGGAGUCAUGAAGCCCGGGGAGACCCUCAGACUGACCUGCACUGUGUCCGGAUUCUCCAUCACUAGCUACUGGGUGCACUGGGCCCGCCAGCCAGCGGGGAAAGGGUUGGACUGGAUGGGAGGCUGCACCCGGAGAGACAAUCUGCAGCCCCUGGGUCUGUGCAGUGACCGGCCAGUCCCUGAGAACUUUUCCCUCCAGCACCAGGGAAAUAUGACGCUUUGGCUCCAUUUAGUUUUCAUUGUAGCAGCUUUGGAAGGUAUCCGGUCCCAGGUCCAGCUGGUGGAGUCCGGCGGGGAUGUGAAAAAGCCCAGAGACUCUCUCCGCCUCUCCUGCAAAGCCUCCGGCUUCACCUUCAGCAGCUACAGUAUGAACGGGGUCCGACAGGCUCCCGGGAAGGGACUGGAGUGGGUGGCUGAGGUCAGCAAACCGACCGGAUCGAGCCAAUGGUACUCUCUGGCAGUUCAAGGGCGAUUCACCAUUUCCCGCGACACUUCAGUCAACACGGUGUAUCUUCAAAUGACCGGCCUGAAGCCCGAGGACACCGCCCGGUAUCACUGUGCGAGAGACACAGUGCGGGGAAAUGAAUUUACAGUCGGGCAAAAUCCUACCGCUGUAGAUUGAAAACAACGUAUUCAGCCCUUGGGGGCGGUCGAGAGC
Mauremys reevesii (Reeves's turtle) is the source of this 741-nucleotide non-coding RNA. The record is from the annotation of a RefSeq genome assembly. NCBI's taxonomy places the organism in Eukaryota, Metazoa, Chordata, Testudines, Geoemydidae.